UGGACGCCAGUCUGCGUGGAGCCAACCUUGAAAUACCACCCUUUAAUGUUUGAUGUUCUAACGUUGGCCCCUGACCGGGGUUGCGGACAGUGUCUGGUGGGUAGUUUGACUGGGGCGGUCUCCUCCCAAAGCGUAACGGAGGAGCACGAAGGUUAGCUAAUCCUGGUCGGACAUCAGGAGGUUAGUGCAAUGGCAUAAGCUAGCUUGACUGCGAGCGUGACGGCGCGAGCAGGUGCGAAAGCAGGUCAUAGUGAUCCGGUGGUUCUGAAUGGAAGGGCCAUCGCUCAACGGAUAAAAGGUACUCCGGGGAUAACAGGCUGAUACCGCCCAAGAGUUCAUAUCGACGGCGGUGUUUGGCACCUCGAUGUCGGCUCAUCACAUCCUGGGGCUGAAGUAGGUCCCAAGGGUAUGGCUGUUCGCCAUUUAAAGUGGUACGCGAGCUGGGUUUAGAACGUCGUGAGACAGUUCGGUCCCUAUCUGCCGUGGGCGCUGGAGAAUUGAGGGGGGCUGCUCCUAGUACGAGAGGACCGGAGUGGACGCAUCACUGGUGUUCGGGUUGUCAUGCCAAUGGCACUGCCCGGUAGCUAAAUGCGGAAGAGAUAAGUGCUGAAAGCAUCUAAGCACGAAACUUGCCCCGAGAUGAGUUCUCCCUGAGACUUUAAGUCUCCUGAAGGAACGUU
Molecule: ribosomal RNA, 680 nt
Filed under: Klebsiella pneumoniae
Lineage: Bacteria; Pseudomonadati; Pseudomonadota; Gammaproteobacteria; Enterobacterales; Enterobacteriaceae
Description: partial 23S ribosomal RNA
Rfam family: Bacterial large subunit ribosomal RNA
Source: RNAcentral